UAGAAUUUCAGCUUUGGGUGUUGAUGGUGGAGCUAGAGCUUCUUCCUUGACA
Molecule: transfer RNA, 52 nt
Filed under: Haringtonhippus francisci
Lineage: Eukaryota; Metazoa; Chordata; Mammalia; Perissodactyla; Equidae
Description: partial tRNA-Pro
Source: RNAcentral